GCGGCAGGCUUAACACAUGCAAGUCGAACGAGAAAGUAUGCGCUUGCGUAUACGAGUAGAGUGGCGCACGGGUGAGUAACACGUAAACAAUCUAUCCUUUGGUUGGGGAUAACUACUGGAAACGGUAGCUAAUACCCGAUAAGUCUGAGAGGUCUGCGGAUUUUUCAGAGAAAGGCGAGACACGCCGGAGGGUGAGUUUGCGUCCCAUCAGCUAGAUGGUAGGGUAAGGGCCUACCAUGGCGAUGACGGGUAGCUGGUUUGAGAGGAUGAUCAGCCACACUGGGACUGAGACACGGCCCAGACUCCUACGGGAGGCAGCAGUGGGGAAUAUUGGACAAUGGGGGCAACCCUGAUCCAGCCAUGCCGCGUGAAGGAAGAAGGUUUUCGGAUCGCAAACUUCUGUUGGGAGGGAAGAAAGACCGUUUUAUAGACGGUGAUGACGGUACCUCCUUAGCAAGCACCGGCUAACUCCGUGCCAGCAGCCGCGGUAAUACGGAGGGUGCGAACGUUGCUCGGAAUCACUGGGCUUAAAGGGCUCGUAGGCGGUUAUGUAAGUUAGGUGUGAAAUCCCCGGGCUUAACCCGGGACGUGCACUUAAAACUGUGUAACUGGAGUACAGGAGAGGAUAGCGGAAUUCCCGGUGUAGAGGUGAAAUUCGUAGAUAUCGGGAAGAACACCAGAGGCGAAGGCGGCUAUCUGGACUGUAACUGACGCUGAUGAGCGAAAGCGUGGGUAGCGAACAGGAUUAGAUACCCUGGUAGUCCACGCUGUAAACGAUGAGUGCUAGACGUCGGGUGUAUUAACACAUUCGGUGUCGCAGUUAACGCGCUAAGCACUCCGCCUGGGGAGUACGUCCGCAAGGCUAAUACUCAAAGGAAUUGACGGGUGCCCGCACAAGCGGUGGAGCAUGUGGUUUAAUUCGAUGCAACGCGAAGAACCUUACCUGGGUUGGAACCACAUGGAAUUCAUCAGAGAAGGUGAAGUGCCUUAUUUUAAGGAGCCGGGUGUUCAGGUGCUGCAUGGCUGUCGUCAGCUCGUGUCGUGAGAUGUUGGGUUAAGUCCCGCAACGAGCGCAACCCUUGUUGCUAGUUACUAACAGGUAAAGCUGAGGACUCUAGCGAGACUGCCGGUGGUAACCGGAGGAAGGUGGG
RNAcentral lists this ribosomal RNA (1151 nucleotides) under uncultured organism. Its description in RNAcentral is "bacterial SSU rRNA". It matches the Rfam family "Bacterial small subunit ribosomal RNA", at positions 39 to 1177 of the family's 1533-position model. The record is from RNAcentral.